GGCGGACGGGUGAGUAACACGUGGGGAAUCUACCUUUUAGUGGGGAAUAACGCUCCGAAAGGAGUGGUAAUACCGCAUGAGACCUUCGGCUGGGAUGCUGGAGGUGAAACCUGGGGACCGCAAGGCCUGGGGCUAGAAGAGGAUCCUGCGUCUGAUUAGCUAGUUGGCGGGGUAAUGGCCCACCAAGGCGACGAUCAGUAGCCGGCCUGAGAGGGUGAUCGGCCACACUGGAACUGAGACACGGUCCAGACUCCUACGGGAGGCAGCAGUGGGGAAUUUUGCGCAAUGGACGAGAGUCUGACGCAGCAACGCCGCGUGGGUGAUGAAGGUCUUCGGACUGUAAAACCCUGUCGUC
RNAcentral lists this ribosomal RNA (355 nucleotides) under uncultured bacterium. RNAcentral's name for it is "bacterial SSU rRNA". It matches the Rfam family "Bacterial small subunit ribosomal RNA", at positions 97 to 440 of the family's 1533-position model. The record is from RNAcentral.